CUACGGGCGGCUGCAGUGGGGAAUCUUGGACAAUGGGCGCAAGCCUGAUCCAGCCAUGCCGCGUGAGUGAUGAAGGCCUUAGGGUCGUAAAGCUCUUUCGCCAGGGAUGAUAAUGACAGUACCUGGUAAAGAAACCCCGGCUAACUCCGUGCCAGCAGCCGCGGUAAUACGGAGGGGGUUAGCGUUGUUCGGAAUUACUGGGCGUAAAGCGCGCGUAGGCGGAUCAGAAAGUUGGGGGUGAAAUCCCGGGGCUCAACCCCGGAACGGCCUCCAAAACUCCUGGUCUUGAGUUCGAGAGAGGUGAGUGGAAUUCCGAGUGUAGAGGUGAAAUUCGUAGAUAUUCGGAGGAACACCAGUGGCGAAGGCGGCUCACUGGCUCGAUACUGACGCUGAGGUGCGAAAGUGUGGGGAGCAAACAGGAUUAGAUACCCGCGUAGUC
RNAcentral lists this ribosomal RNA (439 nucleotides) under uncultured bacterium. Its description in RNAcentral is "partial 16S ribosomal RNA". It matches the Rfam family "Bacterial small subunit ribosomal RNA", at positions 339 to 795 of the family's 1533-position model. The record is from RNAcentral.